This is a non-coding RNA of Brachypodium distachyon (stiff brome), 125 nucleotides long. The record is from Rfam. Lineage: Eukaryota; Viridiplantae; Streptophyta; Magnoliopsida; Poales; Poaceae.
AUGGUACUCCCUCUGUUCCAUAUUAAGUGACGAAAUAUUACAUGUAUCUAGACGCCUUUUGAGUAUAGAUACAUCUAUAUUUGAGUAAAUUUGAGUCAUUUAAUAUGGGACAGAGGAAGUACAAA